GUUGUUGUGUUAGAGGUCUUGUGUUUGAAUCCUUGCGUAAGCGUGGGUGUUAUUUUUACCUCGGUUGGUGGAGAGAGUUUGGAUGGGAGUGGGAGUUUAGGGGGGUGGGUAGUUGAGAUUUAGAUGUUAGUGGGGAGUUGAGAUAUUGUUGUAUCUAUUUUUUUCAAAAAUUUCGGUUCUCUCUCUCUCUCAAAAAUUCUGAUGUCAAUUGUUCUUCGUCUUCGUGGCACUCUCAAUUUUUUUUUCUCUUUUUUUUACCUUUUCUUUUUCCAUUCAAACUAUUUUCGAUCUCUGCGUUGGGUUCUAUCUUCUGUUUGGGUUGUAAUUGGUAAG
RNAcentral lists this long non-coding RNA (333 nucleotides) under Gossypium raimondii (Peruvian cotton). Its description in RNAcentral is "long non-coding RNA (GRAI_LNC003194)". The record is from RNAcentral. Lineage: Eukaryota; Viridiplantae; Streptophyta; Magnoliopsida; Malvales; Malvaceae.